GCUUAACACAUGCAAGUCGAGGGGCAGCAUGGUCUUAGCUUGCUAAGGCCGAUGGCGACCGGCGCACGGGUGAGUAACACGUAUCCAACCUGCCGUCUACUCUUGGACAGCCUUCUGAAAGGAAGAUUAAUACAAGAUGGCAUCAUGAGUCCGCAUGUUCACAUGAUUAAAGGUAUUCCGGUAGACGAUGGGGAUGCGGUCCAUUAGAUAGUAGGCGGGGUAACGGCCCACCUAGUCUUCGAUGGAUAGGGGUUCUGAGAGGAAGGUCCCCCACAUUGGAACUGAGACACGGUCCAAACUCCUACGGGAGGCAGCAGUGAGGAAUAUUGGUCAAUGGGCGAGAGCCUGAACCAGCCAAGUAGCGUGAAGGAUGACUGCCCUAUGGGUUGUAAACUUCUUUUAUAAAGGAAUAAAGUCGGGUAUGCAUACCCGUUUGCAUGUACUUUAUGAAUAAGGAUCGGCUAACUCCGUGCCAGCAGCCGCGGUAAUACGGAGGAUCCGAGCGUUAUCCGGAUUUAUUGGGUUUAAAGGGAGCGUAGAUGGAUGUUUAAGUCAGUUGUGAAAGUUUGCGGCUCAACCGUAAAAUUGCAGUUGAUACUGGAUAUCUUGAGUGCAGUUGAGGCAGGCGGAAUUCGUGGUGUAGCGGUGAAAUGCUUAGAUAUCACGAAGAACUCCGAUUGCGAAGGCAGCCUGCUAAGCUGCAACUGACAUUGAGGCUCGAAAGUGUGGGUAUCAAACAGGAUUAGAUACCCUGGUAGUCCACACGGUAAACGAUGAAUACUCGCUGUUUGCGAUAUACUGCAAGCGGCCAAGCGAAAGCGUUAAGUAUUCCACCUGGGGAGUACGCCGGCAACGGUGAAACUCAAAGGAAUUGACGGGGGCCCGCACAAGCGGAGGAACAUGUGGUUUAAUUCGAUGAUACGCGAGGAACCUUACCCGGGCUUAAAUUGCAGAUGAAUUACGGUGAAAGCCGUAAGCCGCAAGACAUCUGUGAAGGUGCUGCAUGGUUGUCGUCAGCUCGUGCCGUGAGGUGUCGGCUUAAGUGCCAUAACGAGCGCAACCCUUGUUGUCAGUUACUAACAGGUUCCGCUGAGGACUCUGACAAGACUGCCAUCGUAAGAUGUGAGGAAGGUGGGGAUGACGUCAAAUCAGCACGGCCCUUACGUCCGGGGCUACACACGUGUUACAAUGGGGGGUACAGAGGGCCGCUACCACGCGAGUGGAUGCCAAUCCCCAAAACCUCUCUCAGUUCGGACUGGAGUCUGCAACCCGACUCCACGAAGCUGGAUUCGCUAGUAAUCGCGCAUCAGCCACGGCGCGGUGAAUACGUUCCCGGGCCUUGUACACACCGCCCGUCAAGCCAUGGGAGCCGGGGGUACCUGAAGUGCGUAACCGCGAGGAGCGCCCUAGGGUAAAACUGGUGACUGGGGCUAAGUCAUA
RNAcentral lists this ribosomal RNA (1440 nucleotides) under uncultured organism. RNAcentral describes it as "SSU rRNA". It matches the Rfam family "Bacterial small subunit ribosomal RNA". The record is from RNAcentral.